Molecule: long non-coding RNA, 1163 nt
Organism: Anopheles arabiensis
Lineage: Eukaryota; Metazoa; Arthropoda; Insecta; Diptera; Culicidae
Exons: 3
Source: RefSeq, a predicted model, not a curated record
UGGCAAAGAGUAACUCAUUUUGAUUCCUCUGGCUACCCCUGGCCCUAGCUUUGAAGGAAUCAUGCGACACACUCGCACUCCACUACCCCAUCCCAUGGAAAAACGCUCCCACCAUCGAGGUGUUGACCAAAAUUUCGCUGUGUGCAUGAGACACACACUCGCACUCCUCCACUCCUCCAUAGCCGAUCGCUCCCACCGUUGCGAAUUUGCGAGAAUUUUUGCUCUGAGCGUGAGACCCUGAAGCGCAAGAGAUGACACUAUGUGUAAAGACGAUCAUAAUUCGAUAUGGUCAAAAUGCAUCAAUAAUUGUUUCAUUUAUCUGGUAAUGAUGUUUUCACUUCAUCAAAAUUUUAAACAUUAACAACUAGGCUGAUAACAAUAGUUGAAAUGUAAAUCAGAAUAAAAUCAAUUCAUUUGAAGUAAAAUAAAUUCCAUUAUACUUUAUUUUGACCAUAUGAUCAACACUUGUACAUAGUGCCAUUUACUUUGUGUUCUUCACUCUCGCGUUGUGUUUUGAUCGUUCGAAACUCAUUGCCAGAACGAAUGCAAAUUUCAUUUGGGAAGGAUCGGUGCCGGAAGAUGCAGUGAAAAUUAUAAAAUGUUUAUAGAAAAGUGGUUAAGUAAAUCGUGAAAGAUGUCAACGCAGGCGUAAAUGCAGUUUGUUUUGUUACUUGAUCUACGGCAAUUUCAUUACCAAAGCACCUGAUAACCGAUCAAAGAAGGUGAAUCGGGCUUACAGAGUCGCCGUUUAACUUCAAAUAUCUUCGUGAUCGGCAAACGCAUCAAACAGCAAGUGUUUUUCUUCCAACAGCACGCGCCAUCGGUGGAGCAAGCAGCCAACGUUUCCUUCGUCUAGCACGCACCAUCAAGAAUUGAAAUAUUCCCGAAUAGCUCUGUGAAUAAAAAACUGCACACUUACUGUCCGAAUUUCCUGGAAUUUUUUGAUCGGUCUACGCUCGCGGGAAUGGUGGGUCCGUUGAGGAGAAGGAAAGAAAGGGUGGGAGCGAGGAUUACCCAAAAACGCGGCAUUGAGAAUGAGGGGAGGUGCGCUCAGCGCUCACGCUGGGACACUCACGAUGCUUGAAAUAAAAUGUUAACAAGCAUCGAUUUCAAGCAUGCAUGUCGCGCGACAUUUUGCCAAGCGGGUACAGGAGCUGCGCGUU